ACAAUGAAGAGUUUGAUCCUGGCUCAGGAUGAACGCUAGCUACAGGCUUAACACAUGCAAGUCGAGGGGCAGCAGGAUCUAGCAAUAGAUUGCUGGCGACCGGCGCACGGGUGAGUAACACGUAUCCAACCUGCCGAUAACUCGGGGAUAGCCUUUCGAAAGAAAGAUUAAUACCCGAUAGUAUAAUCAGACCGCAUGGUUUGAUUAUUAAAGAAUUUCGGUUAUCGAUGGGGAUGCGUUCCAUUAGGCAGUUGGUGAGGUAACGGCUCACCAAACCUUCGAUGGAUAGGGGUUCUGAGAGGAAGGUCCCCCACAUUGGAACUGAGACAC
This 330-nucleotide ribosomal RNA is filed under the name Bacteroides thetaiotaomicron. RNAcentral's name for it is "bacterial SSU rRNA". It matches the Rfam family "Bacterial small subunit ribosomal RNA", at positions 1 to 327 of the family's 1533-position model. The record is from RNAcentral. Lineage: Bacteria; Pseudomonadati; Bacteroidota; Bacteroidia; Bacteroidales; Bacteroidaceae.